Molecule: ribosomal RNA, 120 nt
Filed under: Saimiri boliviensis boliviensis (Bolivian squirrel monkey)
Lineage: Eukaryota; Metazoa; Chordata; Mammalia; Primates; Cebidae
Source: RNAcentral
GCCUAUGGCCAUACCACCCUGAACGUGCCCAGAUCUUGUAUGAUCUCGGAAGCUAACCAGGGUUGGGCCUGGUUAGUACUUGGAUGGGAGACCGCCUGGGACUACUGGGUGCUGUAAGCC